RNAcentral lists this ribosomal RNA (467 nucleotides) under uncultured bacterium. RNAcentral's name for it is "partial 16S ribosomal RNA". It matches the Rfam family "Bacterial small subunit ribosomal RNA", at positions 28 to 507 of the family's 1533-position model. The record is from RNAcentral.
GACGAACGCUGGCGGCGUGCUUAACACAUGCAAGUCGAACGGAAAGGCCCUGCUCUUGCGGGGUGCUCGAGUGGCGAACGGGUGAGUGACACGUGUGUAACCUGCCCUUUGCAUUGGGGUAACUUCAGGAAACUGGGGCUAUUACACGAUAGGAGCUUCUGCUGCAUGGUGGGGGUUGGAAAGUUUGGGCGGUUGGGGAUGGAGUCGCGGCCUAUCGGUUUGUUGGUGGGGUAGUGGGUUACCAGGUCUUCGACGGGUAGCCGGCCGGCCAGGGUGACCGGCCACAUUGGGUCUGGGAGACGGCCGAAGCGCCUACGGGGGGCAGGAGGGGGGAAUGAUGCACAAAGGGCGGGAGCGUGAUGCAGCAACGCGGCGUGCGGGAUGAGGGCCUUCGGGUGGUAAGCCUCUUUCGGCGGUAACGAAGCAUGAGGAAGGGAAAUGGACAAAAAGGCACGGCCAAACUAGUG